CCUACGGGUGGCUGCAGUGCGGAAUAUUGGUCAAUGGCCGUAAGGCUGAACCAGCCAAGUAGCGUGAGGGAAGACUGCCCUAUGGGUUGUAAACCUCUUUUAUGCGGGGGUAAAGGUGUCCACGUGUGGAUGUUUGCAGGUACCGCAUGAAUAAGGACCGGCUAAUUCCGUGCCAGCAGCCGCGGUAAUACGGCGGGUCCGGGCGUUGUCCGGAUUUAUUGGGUUUAAGGGGAGCGUAGGCGGGUCAUUAAGCGUGCCGUGAAAUUUUGUGGACCAACCAUGAGAGUGCGGCGCGAACUGGAGACCUUGAGUGCGCGGAAGGCAGGCGGAAUUCGUGGUGUAGCGGUGAAAUGCUUAGAUAUCACGAAGAACCCCGAUUGCGAAGGCAGCCUGCCGCAGCGUUACUGACGCUGAAGCUCGAAAGCGCGGGUAUCGAACAGGAUUAGAUACCCGUGUAGUC
Molecule: ribosomal RNA, 460 nt
Filed under: uncultured bacterium
Lineage: Bacteria
Description: partial 16S ribosomal RNA
Rfam family: Bacterial small subunit ribosomal RNA
Source: RNAcentral